UACGUAGGGGGCAAGCGUUGUCCGGAAUCAUUGGGCGUAAAGAGCGUGCAGGCGGCUUGGCAAGUCCGCUGUGAAAGUCCAGGGCUCAACCCUGGAAAGCCGGUGGAAACUGUCAAGCUUGAGUCCGGAAGAGGCGAGUGGAAUUCCUGGUGUAGCGGUGAAAUGCGCAGAUAUCAGGAGGAACACCGGUGGCGAAGGCAGCUCGCUGGGACGGUACUGACGCUGAGACGCGAAAGCGUGGGGAGCAAACGGG
RNAcentral lists this ribosomal RNA (253 nucleotides) under uncultured bacterium. Its description in RNAcentral is "partial 16S ribosomal RNA". It matches the Rfam family "Bacterial small subunit ribosomal RNA", at positions 524 to 776 of the family's 1533-position model. The record is from RNAcentral.